UACAGGGGGUGCAAACGUUGCUCGGAAUUAUUGGGCGUAAAGCGCGCGUAGGCGGCUACUUAAGUCGGAUGUGAAAGCCCCGGGCUCAACCUGGGAAUUGCAUUCGAGACUGAAUAGCUAGGGUACGGUAGAGGGAAGUGGAAUUUCCGGUGUAGCGGUGAAAUGCGUAGAGAUCGGAAAGAACACCAACGGCGAAAGCACUCUGCUGGGCCGACACUGACACUGAGAGACGAAAGCUAGGGGAGCGAAUGGG
This 253-nucleotide ribosomal RNA is filed under the name uncultured bacterium. Its description in RNAcentral is "partial 16S ribosomal RNA". It matches the Rfam family "Bacterial small subunit ribosomal RNA", at positions 524 to 776 of the family's 1533-position model. The record is from RNAcentral.